GAGUUUGAUCCUGGCUCAGAACGAACGCUGGCGGCGUGCUUAACACAUGCAAGUCAGGGAGAAAGUCUCUUCGGGGAUGAUUAAACCGGCGCACGGGUGAGUAACACGUGAGUGACCUGCCUUUUAGACUGGAACAACUUACCGAAAGGUGAGCUAAUGCCGGAUGAGUUAUAUAAGUGCAUGUUUAUAUAGGAAAAGUUGGGGAGACCUGACGCUGAAAGAUGGACUCGCGUCCCAUUAGCUAGUUGGUAGGGUAAUGGCCUACCAAGGCGACGAUGGGUAGCCGGCCUGAGAGGGUGGCCGGCCACACUGGGACUGAGACACGGCCCAGACUCCUACGGGAGGCAGCAGUGGGGAAUUUUGCGCAAUGCUCGUAAGAGUGACGCAGCGACGCCGCGUGAAUGACGAAGGCCUUCGGGUCGUAAAGUUCUUUCGACAGGGAAGAAAAUGCCUAUAAGUAACUGUGUAUGUAUUGACGGUACCUGUAUAAGCAGCCCCGGCUAACUCCGUGCCAGCAGCCGCGGUAAUACGGAGGGGGCGAGCGUUGUUCGGAGUGACUGGGCGUAAAGAGCACGUAGGCGGUGUUGUAAGUCAUUAGUCAAAGACUAGAGCUCAACUUUAGUAAGGCUAGUGAUACUAUAAUACUAGAGUAUCAGAGAGGAUUGCAGAAUUCCUGGUGUAGCGGUGAAAUGCGUAGAUAUCAGGAGGAAUACCGUUAGCGAAGGCGGCAAUCUGGCUGGAAACUG
This 746-nucleotide ribosomal RNA is filed under the name uncultured bacterium. RNAcentral's name for it is "bacterial SSU rRNA". It matches the Rfam family "Bacterial small subunit ribosomal RNA", at positions 9 to 742 of the family's 1533-position model. The record is from RNAcentral.